UUUCCGUAGGUGAACCUGCGGAAGGAUCAUUCAUAAUAAGUGUUUUAUGGCACUUUUUUAAAUCCAUAUCCACCUUGUGUGCAAUGUCAGGGUUGAUUUUUCUCUCGAGAGGAUCAACCCCAAACACCAACUAUAUCUCAACUCUUUGUCUGAAAAAUAUUAUGAAUAAAACAAUUCAAAAUACAACUUUCGACAACGGAUCUCUUGGCUCUC
Molecule: unclassified non-coding RNA, 213 nt
Filed under: plant metagenome
Description: partial contains small subunit ribosomal RNA, internal transcribed spacer 1, and 5.8S ribosomal RNA
Source: RNAcentral